UACGAAGGGGGCUAGCGUUGUUCGGAAUUACUGGGCGUAAAGCGCACGUAGGCGGAUAUUUAAGUCAGGGGUGAAAUCCCACGGCUCAACCGUGGAACUGCUGGGUAUACUGGUUGUCUUGAGCCAGCUAGGGGCGAGCGGAACAGACGGUGGAGCGGUGAAAUGCGUAGAUAUCGUCUGGAACGCCGAAGGUGAAAACAGCUCGCUGGGGCUGCGCUGACGCUGAGACACGAAAGCCAGGGGAGCGAACGGG
This 253-nucleotide ribosomal RNA is filed under the name uncultured bacterium. RNAcentral describes it as "partial 16S ribosomal RNA". It matches the Rfam family "Bacterial small subunit ribosomal RNA", at positions 524 to 776 of the family's 1533-position model. The record is from RNAcentral.